Molecule: ribosomal RNA, 532 nt
Filed under: uncultured bacterium
Lineage: Bacteria
Description: bacterial SSU rRNA
Rfam family: Bacterial small subunit ribosomal RNA
Source: RNAcentral
UGGGGAAUAUUGCACAAUGGGCGCAAGCCUGAUGCAGCGACGCCGCGUGAGGGAUGACGGCCUUCGGGUUGUAAACCUCUGUUAGCAGGGAAGAAGAGAGAUUGACGGUACCUGCAGAGAAAGCGCCGGCUAACUACGUGCCAGCAGCCGCGGUAAUACGUAGGGCGCGAGCGUUGUCCGGAAUUAUUGGGCGUAAAGAGCUUGUAGGCGGUUUGUCGCGUCUGCUGUGAGAGGCCGGAGCUUAACUCCGUGUAUUGCAGUGGGUACGGGCAGACUAGAGUGCAGUAGGGGAGACUGGAAUUCCUGGUGUAGCGGUGGAAUGCGCAGAUAUCAGGAGGAACACCGAUGGCGAAGGCAGGUCUCUGGGCUGUAACUGACGCUGAGAAGCGAAAGCAUGGGGAGCGAACAGGAUUAGAUACCCUGGUAGUCCAUGCCGUAAACGUUGGGCACUAGGUGUGGGGGACAUUCCACGUUUUCCGCGCCGUAGCUAACGCAUUAAGUGCCCCGCCUGGGGAGUACGGCCGCAAGGCUA